This 251-nucleotide ribosomal RNA is filed under the name uncultured Actinomycetes bacterium. RNAcentral's name for it is "uncultured actinobacterium partial 16S ribosomal RNA". It matches the Rfam family "Bacterial small subunit ribosomal RNA", at positions 88 to 339 of the family's 1533-position model. The record is from RNAcentral. Lineage: Bacteria; Bacillati; Actinomycetota; Actinomycetes.
GUAUAGAGUGGCGAACGGCUGAGUAACACGUGGGCAACCUGCCCUUCAGUUCGGAAUAGCUACGGGAAACCGUGGGUAAUACCGGAUGAUCCACCUCCCUCGCAUGAAGGAGGUGGCAAAGAUUUAUCGCUGAAGGAUGGGCCCGCGGCCUGUUAGCUUGUUGGUGAGGUAACGGCUCACCAAGGCAGUAAUGGGUAGCCGGGUUGAGAGACCGACCGGCCAGAUUGGGACUGAGACACGGCCCAGACUCC